GGAGUUAGUGGCGGACGGGUGAGUAACACGUGGGAACGUGCCUUUAGGUUCGGAAUAACUCAGGGAAACUUGUGCUAAUACCGAAUGUGCCCUUCGGGGGAAAGAUUUAUCGCCUUUAGAGCGGCCCGCGUCUGAUUAGCUAGUUGGUGAGGUAAAGGCUCACCAAGGCGACGAUCAGUAGCUGGUCUGAGAGGAUGAUCAGCCACAUUGGGACUGAGACACGGCCCAAACUCCUACGGGAGGCAGCAGUGGGGAAUCUUGCGCAAUGGGCGAAAGCCUGACGCAGCCAUGCCGCGUGAAUGAUGAAGGUCUUAGGAUUGUAAAAUUCUUUCACCGGGGACGAUAAUGACGGUACCCGGAGAAGAAGCCCCGGCUAACUUCGUGCCAGCAGCCGCGGUAAUACGAAGGGGGCUAGCGUUGCUCGGAAUUACUGGGCGUAAAGGGAGCGUAGGCGGACAUUUAAGUCAGGGGUGAAAUCCCGGGGCUCAACCUCGGAAUUGCCUUUGAUACUGGGUGUCUUGAGUAUGAGAGAGGUGUGUGGAACUCCGAGUGUAGAGGUGAAAUUCGUAGAUAUUCGGAAGAACACCAGUGGCGAAGGCGACACACUGGCUCAUUACUGACGCUGAGGCUCGAAAGCGUGGGGAGCAAACAGGAUUAGAUACCCUGGUAGUCCACGCCGUAAACGAUGAUUGCUAGUUGUCGGGAUGCAUGCAUUUCGGUGACGCAGCUA
RNAcentral lists this ribosomal RNA (730 nucleotides) under Brevundimonas sp. Its description in RNAcentral is "bacterial SSU rRNA". It matches the Rfam family "Bacterial small subunit ribosomal RNA", at positions 88 to 854 of the family's 1533-position model. The record is from RNAcentral. Lineage: Bacteria; Pseudomonadati; Pseudomonadota; Alphaproteobacteria; Caulobacterales; Caulobacteraceae.